AAUAAGUGCAGUUUUAGCACUCUUCAUGUCUAACAUUUGACCGUUCGUCUUAUUUGAAAAAGAUUAUGAUUAGUAUUUUUAUUAUUACUAGAUGAUAAAAUAUAAACAGAACUUUACGUGUGCUAAUUUUUUUUUAAAUAUUUUUCAUAAAUUUUUCAAAUAAGACGGAUGGUCGAAACACUAAACACGAAUAUUUAUGGCUACUAGUUAGC
Molecule: non-coding RNA, 212 nt
Organism: Oryza glumipatula
Lineage: Eukaryota; Viridiplantae; Streptophyta; Magnoliopsida; Poales; Poaceae
Source: Rfam